CACGUAGGGGGCAAGCGUUGUCCGGAUUUAUUGGGCGUAAAGAGCUCGUAGGCUGUUCGAUAAGUCGGGUGUGAAACCUCCAGGCUCAACCUGGAGACGCCACCCGAUACUGUCAUGACUAGAGUCCGGUAGGGGAGCGUGGAAUUCCUGGUGUAGCGGUGAAAUGCGCAGAUAUCAGGAGGAACACCAGCGGCGAAGGCGGCGCUCUGGGCCGGUACUGGCGCUGAGGAGCGAAAGCGUGGGUAGCAAACAGG
This 254-nucleotide ribosomal RNA is filed under the name uncultured bacterium. RNAcentral describes it as "partial 16S ribosomal RNA". It matches the Rfam family "Bacterial small subunit ribosomal RNA", at positions 524 to 776 of the family's 1533-position model. The record is from RNAcentral.